GCUGCUUCGCUGACGAGUGGCGGACGGGUGAGUAAUGUCUGGGAAACUGCCUGAUGGAGGGGGAUAACUACUGGAAACGGUAGCUAAUACCGCAUAACGUCGCAAGACCAAAGAGGGGGACCUUCGGGCCUCUUGCCAUCGGAUGUGCCCAGAUGGGAUUAGCUAGUAGGUGGGGUAACGGCUCACCUAGGCGACGAUCCCUAGCUGGUCUGAGAGGAUGACCAGCCACACUGGAACUGAGACACGGUCCAGACUCCUACGGGAGGCAGCAGUGGGGAAUAUUGCACAAUGGGCGCAAGCCUGAUGCAGCCAUGCCGCGUGUAUGAAGAAGGCCUUCGGGUUGUAAAGUACUUUCAGCGGGGAGGAAGGCGAUAAGGUUAAUAACCUUGUCGAUUGACGUUACCCGCAGAAGAAGCACCGGCUAACUCCGUGCCAGCAGCCGCGGUAAUACGGAGGGUGCAAGCGUUAAUCGGAAUUACUGGGCGUAAAGCGCACGCAGGCGGUCUGUCAAGUCGGAUGUGAAAUCCCCGGGCUCAACCUGGGAACUGCAUUCGAAACUGGCAGGCUAGAGUCUUGUAGAGGGGGGUAGAAUUCCAGGUGUAGCGGUGAAAUGCGUAGAGAUCUGGAGGAAUACCGGUGGCGAAGGCGGCCCCCUGGACAAAGACUGACGCUCAGGUGCGAAAGCGUGGGGAGCAACAGGAUUAGAUACCCUGGUAGUCCACGCCGUAAACGAUGUCGACUUGGAGGUUGUGCCCUUGAGGCGUGGCUUCCGGAGCUAACGCGUUAAGUCGACCGCCUGGG
This 801-nucleotide ribosomal RNA is filed under the name uncultured bacterium. RNAcentral's name for it is "bacterial SSU rRNA". It matches the Rfam family "Bacterial small subunit ribosomal RNA", at positions 79 to 877 of the family's 1533-position model. The record is from RNAcentral.